This 427-nucleotide ribosomal RNA is filed under the name uncultured Stenotrophomonas sp. RNAcentral's name for it is "bacterial SSU rRNA". It matches the Rfam family "Bacterial small subunit ribosomal RNA", at positions 355 to 774 of the family's 1533-position model. Lineage: Bacteria; Pseudomonadati; Pseudomonadota; Gammaproteobacteria; Lysobacterales; Lysobacteraceae. The record is from RNAcentral.
UGGGGAAUAUUGGACAAUGGGCGCAAGCCUGAUCCAGCCAUACCGCGUGGGUGAAGAAGGCCUUCGGGUUGUAAAGCCCUUUUGUUGGGAAAGAAAAGCAGCUGGUUAAUACCCGGUUGUUCUGACGGUACCCAAAGAAUAAGCACCGGCUAACUUCGUGCCAGCAGCCGCGGUAAUACGAAGGGUGCAAGCGUUACUCGGAAUUACUGGGCGUAAAGCGUGCGUAGGUGGUUGUUUAAGUCUGUUGUGAAAGCCCUGGGCUCAACCUGGGAAUUGCAGUGGAUACUGGGCGACUAGAGUGUGGUAGAGGGUAGUGGAAUUCCUGGUGUAGCAGUGAAAUGCGUAGAGAUCAGGAGGAACAUCCAUGGCGAAGGCAGCUACCUGGACCAACACUGACACUGAGGCACGAAAGCGUGGGGAGCAAACA